RNAcentral lists this long non-coding RNA (281 nucleotides) under Hordeum vulgare. RNAcentral describes it as "long non-coding RNA (HVUL_LNC011908)". Lineage: Eukaryota; Viridiplantae; Streptophyta; Magnoliopsida; Poales; Poaceae. The record is from RNAcentral.
GACACUCUUUAUUAUAUGGCUCACGAGCAAGAAUACAUCGGGGGUGACACGAAGCAAAACUCAAGACUAAAACACUAAGACUUUUAAACUACUAGAGAAAAAGAAAAUUGAAAAGGAAAACUAAAACAAAGGUAAAGGCAAAAAGAUGUGAUGGUGAUACGAUACCGGGGCAAAUUCCCCAAGCUUAGCACAAGCCAAGGGGAUUGCCCAUACCAAUGCUCCAGUUGUCUUCCUUUGCUGGUGAUGGUGAUGAAGUUGUUGCAACCUUUGAUUCCAAGAGG